This 88-nucleotide transfer RNA is filed under the name Chloroflexota bacterium. RNAcentral describes it as "Chloroflexi bacterium tRNA-Leu". It matches the Rfam family "tRNA". From Rfam's summary of the family: Transfer RNA (tRNA) molecules are approximately 80 nucleotides in length. Their secondary structure includes four short double-helical elements and three loops (D, anti-codon, and T loops). Lineage: Bacteria; Bacillati; Chloroflexota. RNAcentral also lists the same sequence under 1 other name. The record is from RNAcentral.
GCCGGAGUGGCGGAACGGCAGACGCGGCCGGCUUAAACCCGGCCGCCCCGCAAGGGGCGUGGGGGUUCGAAUCCCUCCUCCGGCACCA